Molecule: long non-coding RNA, 795 nt
Organism: Zalophus californianus (California sea lion)
Lineage: Eukaryota; Metazoa; Chordata; Mammalia; Carnivora; Otariidae
Exons: 3
Source: RefSeq, a predicted model, not a curated record
UCUCCCUCCCCUCCCCUCCCCUCCCGCGCCCCUUGAGGAGACCGGAGACCCUUCGUGAGGGUCAUCUCCCUUUGCACUUGUCGGGCGGUCACCCUUGAUGCCCCAGGCGCGCACAGACACGCACGCCCAUACACACAGAAGCAUCCACCCAUUGUUCGUAUUUGAGAAAGUGCCGUCCAGGUGUUGAAGGCUGGAAAGAGCUGCAUGACUGGCCAGGGAUUCCUGUUAUUGGAAUUUUGUUUUUGUUGCUGUUAUUACCUCGGAGAUAUCUCCAGAGUUCAAGACCUGGAAGCAGUUACGGAAUUGAGCAAAAGAUGAUGCAAAGGGGUUUUCCACUCCCUACCCUCCUCAGAAACAGAGAAAUGGAACCAAAUCAAAGCUCCUUAAGGAAGAACUGGAAGGCAGACCCAUGGAAAAAAAUGCGUACGAUAUAAUGUGCAGCCCCGCCCCCCAAGGCCCGGGAAAGGUGGCGGGAAGCAAAGGCACAUGGAUGCGGGGCUGCCGGGCUGGGACUUUGUCAUACUCACUGCUGCAUAUUCAGUUCCUAGAGCAGUGAGUGCCUGGUACAUGAUACGGCCUCAUAAAUACCUGUGGAAGGACUGAAUGAACGCUGGAAAAGUCUUGAAGCAGCUGAACAAGGACUGAAGGAGGCAUCUGGGAGUGAAAAAUAUUGGAAAUGUGUCACAGCAGAGGGGCUCUGUCUCUCUCUCUCCUCUCUCUCUCUCCUCGCCCUCCUUCCUUCCUUCCCUUCUGUCUCUGUCUCUGAAAAAUCUUAAUGUUACAUUUGUAAUUAAA